Molecule: long non-coding RNA, 135 nt
Organism: Gopherus evgoodei (Goodes thornscrub tortoise)
Lineage: Eukaryota; Metazoa; Chordata; Testudines; Testudinidae
Exons: 5
Source: RefSeq, a predicted model, not a curated record
GAUGGAUUAUUUGAUCAUUUGUUCGGUUCAUUCCCUCUGGGGCAUCUGGAAUUGGCCAUGGUUGGAACACAGGAUACUAGGCUAGAUGGACCUUUGGUCUGACCCAGGAGGGCUGUUCUUGUGUUCUUAUUAUUU